RNAcentral lists this non-coding RNA (27 nucleotides) under Rattus norvegicus (Norway rat). Lineage: Eukaryota; Metazoa; Chordata; Mammalia; Rodentia; Muridae. The record is from RNAcentral.
UGAGGUAAUUUGGAAAAUUGGCAUUGC